This 370-nucleotide ribosomal RNA is filed under the name uncultured organism. Its description in RNAcentral is "partial 16S ribosomal RNA". It matches the Rfam family "Bacterial small subunit ribosomal RNA", at positions 527 to 896 of the family's 1533-position model. The record is from RNAcentral.
GGAGGGGGCUAGCGUUGCUCGGAAUUACUGGGCGUAAAGGGCGCGUAGGCGGAUUUUUUAGUCAGGCGUGAAAGCCCCGGGCUCAACCCGGGAAUUGCGCUUGAUACUGGAAGUCUAGAGUUCUGGAGAGGGUGGUGGAAUUCCCAGUGUAGAGGUGAAAUUCGUAGAUAUUGGGAAGAACACCGGUGGCGAAGGCGGCCACCUGGCCAGACACUGACGCUAAGGCGCGAAAGCGUGGGGAGCAAACAGGAUUAGAUACCCUGGGUAGUCCACGCCGUAAACGAUGUGUGCUAGACGUCGGGCAGCUUGCUGUUCGGUGUCGCAGCUAACGCGUUAAGCACACCGCCUGGGGAGUACGGUCGCAAGAUUA